AGAUUGAACGCUGGCGGAAUGCUUUACACAUGCAAGUCGAACGGCAGCACGGGACUCAGGCAACUGAGCCCUGGUGGCGAGUGGCGAACGGGUGAGUAACAUAUCGGAACGUACCCAGUCGUGGGGGGAUAACUCUCCGAAAGGAGAGCUAGUACCGCAUACGUCCUGAGGGAGAAAGCGGGGGACCUAAGGGUAACUGAGGGCCUCGCGCGAUUGGAGCGGCCGAUAUCGGAUUAGCUAGUUGGUGAGGUAAAGGCUCACCAAGGCGACGAUCCGUAGCGGGUCUGAGAGGACGACCCGCCACACUGGAACUGAGACACGGUCCAGACUCCUACGGGAGGCAGCAGUGGGGAAUUUUGGACAAUGGGGGCAACCCUGAUCCAGCCAUUCCGCGUGAGUGAAGAAGGCCUCGGUUGUAAAGUCUCUUCUAGCAGGAACGAAACGGUAGGUCUUAAUACGGACCUAUUAAUAGACGGUACCUGCAGAAGAAGCGACCGACGUAACUACCGUGACCAGCAGCCGA
This 523-nucleotide ribosomal RNA is filed under the name uncultured soil bacterium. Its description in RNAcentral is "bacterial SSU rRNA". It matches the Rfam family "Bacterial small subunit ribosomal RNA", at positions 26 to 518 of the family's 1533-position model. The record is from RNAcentral.